UGGGGAAUAUUGGACAAUGGGCGCAAGCCUGAUCCAGCCAUGCCGCGUGAGUGAUGAAGGCCCUAGGGUUGUAAAGCUCUUUCAGUGGGGAAGAUAAUGACGGUACCCACAGAAGAAGCCCCGGCUAACUUCGUGCCAGCAGCCGCGGUAAUACGAAGGGGGCUAGCGUUGUUCGGAUUUACUGGGCGUAAAGCGCACGUAGGCGGAUAGUUAAGUGAGGGUGAAAUCCCAGGGCUCAACCCUGGAACUGCCUUUCAUACUGGCUAUCUCGAGUCCGGAAGAGGUGAGUGGAACUCCUAGUGUAGAGGUGGAAUUCGUAGAUAUUAGGAAGAACACCAGUGGCGAAGGCGGCUCACUGGUCCGGUACUGACGCUGAGGUGCGAAAGCGUGGGGAGCAAACAGGAUUAGAUACCCCCGUAGUCCCUGAGCGGGCUGGCAAGGCGCAU
RNAcentral lists this ribosomal RNA (446 nucleotides) under uncultured bacterium. RNAcentral's name for it is "bacterial SSU rRNA". It matches the Rfam family "Bacterial small subunit ribosomal RNA", at positions 355 to 825 of the family's 1533-position model. The record is from RNAcentral.